UACGGGGGGGGCGAGCGUUGUUCGGAAUUACUGGGCGUAAAGGGCGCGUAGGCGGCGACUCAAGUUAGAUGUGAAAGUCCUGGGCUUAACCUGGGGACUGCAUUUGAUACUGGGUUGCUUGAAUUCGGGAGAGGAUAGCGGAAUUCCCAGUGUAGAGGUGAAAUUCGUAGAUAUUGGGAAGAACACCGGUGGCGAAGGCGGCUAUCUGGACCGACAUUGACGCUGAGGCGCGAAAGCGUGGGGAGCAAACAGG
Molecule: ribosomal RNA, 253 nt
Filed under: uncultured bacterium
Lineage: Bacteria
Description: partial 16S ribosomal RNA
Rfam family: Bacterial small subunit ribosomal RNA
Source: RNAcentral